GAGGGUGACCUUUACGGCGCGGUUCUACCUGAUCCCAUCCCGAACUCAGAAGUAAAAAGCGCUCGUGCCGAUGAUACUCCGGUGCAUGCCGGUUGAAAAGUAGGUAGUUGCCCGUU
This 116-nucleotide ribosomal RNA is filed under the name Candidatus Doudnabacteria bacterium CG10_big_fil_rev_8_21_14_0_10_42_18. Lineage: Bacteria; Candidatus Doudnaibacteriota. The record is from RNAcentral.